Molecule: long non-coding RNA, 1511 nt
Filed under: Cercocebus atys (sooty mangabey)
Lineage: Eukaryota; Metazoa; Chordata; Mammalia; Primates; Cercopithecidae
Description: lncRNA (ENSCATG00000045556.1)
Source: RNAcentral
AGCUCAUCCUACACACUAACAUUUGCUUACGCUAUUCAAGUACACUGCACCCAGUUUUGGUUCUUUGCCAGGAUUAAACCCACGAUAUUUUACAAUUUGCAUGUGAACCCCGAUGAAGUGUUUCUAGGAGAUGGCUGUCCUGUAACCUAUGUUUUGCCAAAUGUCUACUAUGAGUUUUUCUACCAUCCUCAUGACUGCGGUAUUGUAACUCAACCUCUCAGGGGAGUUCUUCUGCUUAAAACAAAAAUUAAGUAUAUCUCAAGAGACUCUGCUGUCCGAGCUGAAAUGCCUCUGUCGUGUGUGGUCCGCAAUCAGCAUCCUCUUUUAAAUGUAGUUGAAACGAGAGAUGGGGAAACUGGCAAUGUUGAUGAAUGGGAGAUAGAGGUGAAGAUACAGAUUGCGAGUGAAGACACGGCAGUAACUUCUGCAACACAAUCUUGUAAGAAUCUGACUGCUACACUCCCUUGUUCAUCAAAUGAGUACCUUUAUUGCAAGAGAAGAAACUGUGCUGUCCACUUUGAUACUGAAAGGCAAUUUGGAAUCUCUGCCAUGAUUGCUUAGGACUGAGGAUUUAAUGUGCUAUUUUGUGAAAAUCUGAGAAGCAGGAAGGGGAUUUAAUGAUCUCAACCGUUAUCCAUCUGAAAAACCUAACUUGUGAUUUUAAAUAAAAUGCAGGCUGCCUUCCACUAUUCCCCUUUUAAAAUAGGAACUGCCACUGCUUUUAACUUUAUGAAGUUUUAUUUAUGAAUAAAGUUUGUACUACUAUAUAUCUGUUUCUAGUUAUUGCAAGACUGACUUUUAUGUAAUUUUAAGCUUCAAUGCUCAUUAGAAAUAGGUUUUUAAGGGUACAGUUACUAACUCUUCUCAGUUGCUGAUUCAUGCCCUUAGCUAAGGCUUAGUUGUGGUUGGUCCUGGUAACAGGGCCUAAUCAUUCAUUUAUUCCACGAAGAAUCCCUCAUGGAGUUCACACUUUAGUAGGAGGAGGCAGAGUAUACAAAAAAACAUACUCUAUAGUAUUUUAAGAAGGAGUAAAUGCACCUUAGGGCACAGAGGCAGAGAAAGAAGAUAGGGAAUUCUUGGGUGAGGGUUGUGGUCCUUAAUACGGCAUCAGGGAAGGCAUCCCUCGAAGGUGAUAAUUGAGGAAAGAACUGGAGGAAGUGAGGGAAUGAGCCUGGCAGAUCCUGGAGGGAAGGCUGUUCAAGACUAUGGAAACAGUUGAUGUAAAGUCACUGAGUGUUUGCAGAACAAGGCCAGCAUGAUUGGAGAGGUAAAGUCAUACAGAUGAGGUCUUAAAACAACAACCGAAACACCUAAAACAAUGAGUGGAGUACCUCAUUUAAUUUCUCAAAGUUGAUUGACACACCUGGCUUUUGUUUGAAAUAAAAUGGGAACCCCCUGGAAAGCUCCAAAUGGAGGAGUGAUGUGAUCUGACUUGGAUUUUUAUUAUCAGGAUCACCCUGGCUGCUGGAUGGAAAACAGACACCAAGAGGAAGCAGGGACUGAAGUAGGGA